Non-coding RNA from Triticum aestivum (bread wheat), 105 nucleotides. NCBI's taxonomy places the organism in Eukaryota, Viridiplantae, Streptophyta, Magnoliopsida, Poales, Poaceae. The record is from Rfam.
GAAAUACUCCCUCCGUCCCAAAAUAAGUGUCUCAACUUUGUACUAGAGUUAGUACAAAGUUGUACUAAGCUUGAGACACUUAUUUUGGGACGGAGGGAGUAGUUA